UACGUAGGGAGCAAGCGUUGUCCGGAAUCAUUGGGCGUAAAGCGCGCGUAGGUGGCCUCAUAAGUCCGCUGUGAAAGUCAAAGGCUCAACCUUUGAAAGCCGGUGGAUACUGUGGGGCUAGAGUACGGAAGAGGCGAGUGGAAUUCCUGGUGUAGCGGUGGAAUGCGCAGAUAUCAGGAGGAACACCGGUGGCGAAGGCGGAUCUCUGGGCCGUAACUGACGCUGAGGAGCGAAAGCAUGGGGAGCGAACGGG
RNAcentral lists this ribosomal RNA (253 nucleotides) under uncultured bacterium. RNAcentral's name for it is "partial 16S ribosomal RNA". It matches the Rfam family "Bacterial small subunit ribosomal RNA", at positions 524 to 776 of the family's 1533-position model. The record is from RNAcentral.